This 466-nucleotide ribosomal RNA is filed under the name uncultured bacterium. RNAcentral's name for it is "partial 16S ribosomal RNA". It matches the Rfam family "Bacterial small subunit ribosomal RNA", at positions 28 to 507 of the family's 1533-position model. The record is from RNAcentral.
GAUGAACGCUGGCGGCGUGCUUAACACAUGCAAGUCGAACGGAAAGGCCCAAGCUUGCUUGGGUACUCGAGUGGCGAACGGGUGAGUAACACGUGGGUGAUCUGCCCUGCACUUCGGGAUAAGCCUGGGAAACUGGGUCUAAUACCGGAUAGGACCACAUUUUGGAUGGUGUGGUGGAAAGUUUUUCGGUGUGGGAUGAGCUCGCGGCCUAUCAGCUUGUUGGUGGGGUAAUGGCCUACCAAGGCGUCGACGGGUAGCCGGCCUGAGAGGGUGUACGGCCACAGUGGGACUGAGAUACGGCCCAGACUCCUACAGGAGGCAGCAGUGGGGAAUAUUGCACAAUGGGCGCAAGCCUGAUGCAGCGACGCCGCGUGGGGGAUGACGGCCUUCGGGUUGUAAACUCCUUUCGCUAGGGACGAAGCGUUAUGUGACGGUACCUGGAGAAGAAGCACCGGCUAACUACGUG